Molecule: ribosomal RNA, 253 nt
Filed under: uncultured bacterium
Lineage: Bacteria
Description: partial 16S ribosomal RNA
Rfam family: Bacterial small subunit ribosomal RNA
Source: RNAcentral
UACAGAGGGGGCAAGCGUUGUCCGGAAUCAUUGGGCGUAAAGAGCGUGUAGGCGGUCCGGUAAGUCGGCUGUGCAAGUCCAGGGCUCAACCCUGGGAUGCCGGUCGAUACUGCCGGACUAGAGUUCGGAAGAGGCGAGUGGAAUUCCCGGUGUAGCGGUGAAAUGCGCAGAUAUCGGGAGGAACACCUAUGGCGAAGGCAGCUCGCUGGGACGUUACUGACGCUGAGACGCGAAAGCGUGGGGAGCAAACAGG